Molecule: ribosomal RNA, 497 nt
Filed under: uncultured bacterium
Lineage: Bacteria
Description: partial 16S ribosomal RNA
Rfam family: Bacterial small subunit ribosomal RNA
Source: RNAcentral
GAUGAACGCUGGCGGCGUGCCUAAUACAUGCAAGUCGAGCGAACAGAUAAGGAGCUUGCUCCUUUGACGUUAGCGGCGGACGGGUGAGUAACACGUGGAUAACCUACCUAUAAGACUGGGAUAACUUCGAGAAACCGGAGCUAAUACCGGAUAACAUAUUGAACCGCAUGGUUCAAUAGUGAAAGGCGGCUUUGCUGUCACUUAUAGAUGGAUCCGCGCCGUAUUAGCUAGUUGGUAAGGUAACGGCUUACCAAGGCAACGAUACGUAGCCGACCUGAGAGGGUGAUCGGCCACACUGGAACUGAGACACGGUCCAGACUCCUACGGGAGGCAGCAGUAGGGAAUCUUCCGCAAUGGGCGAAAGCCUGACGGAGCAACGCCGCGUGAGUGAUGAAGGUCUUCGGAUCGUAAAACUCUGUUAUCAGGGAAGAACAAAUGUGUAAGUAACUGUGCACAUCUUGACGGUACCUGAUCAGAAAGCCACGGCUAACUACGUG